CCUGCGGAGGGAUCAUUACUGAGUUUACGCUCUAUAACCCUUUGUGAACAUACCUAUAACUGUUGCUUCGGCGGGUAGGGUCUCCGCGACCCUCCCGGCCUCCCGCCUCCGGGCGGGUCGGCGCCCGCCGGAGGAUAAACCAAACUCUGAUUUAACGACGUUUCUUCUGAGUGGUACAAGCAAAUAAUCAAAACUUUUAACAACGGAUCUCUUGGUUCUGGCAUCGAUGAAGAACGCAGCGAAAUGCGAUAAGUAAUGUGAAUUGCAGAAUUCAGUGAAUCAUCGAAUCUUUGAACGCACAUUGCGCCCGCCAGCAUUCUGGCGGGCAUGCCUGUUCGAGCGUCAUUUCAACCCUCAAGCUCUGCUUGGUGUUGGGGCCCUACAGUUGAUGUAGGCCCUCAAAGGUAGUGGCGGACCCUCCCGGAGCCUCCUUUGCGUAGUAACUUUACGUCUCGCACUGGGAUCCGGAGGGACUCUUGCCGUAAAACCCCCCAAUUUUCCAAAGGUUGACCUCGGAUCAGGUAGGAAUACCCGCUGAACUUAAGCAUAUCAAAAAA
This 557-nucleotide ribosomal RNA is filed under the name Colletotrichum fructicola. RNAcentral's name for it is "eukaryotic LSU rRNA". The stretch from base 192 to 345 matches the Rfam family "5.8S ribosomal RNA". Lineage: Eukaryota; Fungi; Ascomycota; Sordariomycetes; Glomerellales; Glomerellaceae. The record is from RNAcentral.